GACGAACGCUGGCGGCGUGCUUAACACAUGCAAGUCGAACGGAAAGGCCCUGCUUUUGUGGGGUGCUCGAGUGGCGAACGGGUGAGUAACACGUGAGUAACCUGCCCUUGACUUUGGGAUAACUUCAGGAAACUGGGGCUAAUACCGGAUAGGAGCUCCUGCUGCAUGGUGGGGGUUGGAAAGUUUCGGCGGUUGGGGAUGGACUCGCGGCUUAUCAGCUUGUUCGUGGGGUAGUGGCUUACCAAGGCUUUGACGGGUAGCCGGCCUGAGAGGGUGACCGGCCACAUGGGGACUGAGAGACGGACCAGACUCCUACGGGAGGCAGCAGUGGGGAAUAUUGCACAAUGGGCGGAAGCCUGAUGCAGCAACGCCGCGUGCGGGAUGACGGCCUUCUGGUUGUAAACCGCUUUCGCCUGUGACGAAGCGUGAGUGACGGUAAUGGGUAAAGAAGCACCGGCUAACUACGUG
Molecule: ribosomal RNA, 468 nt
Filed under: uncultured bacterium
Lineage: Bacteria
Description: partial 16S ribosomal RNA
Rfam family: Bacterial small subunit ribosomal RNA
Source: RNAcentral